RNAcentral lists this ribosomal RNA (2923 nucleotides) under Klebsiella pneumoniae. RNAcentral describes it as "23S ribosomal RNA". It matches the Rfam family "Bacterial large subunit ribosomal RNA". The record is from RNAcentral. Lineage: Bacteria; Pseudomonadati; Pseudomonadota; Gammaproteobacteria; Enterobacterales; Enterobacteriaceae.
GGGUUGUGAGGUUAAGCGACUAAGCGUACACGGUGGAUGCCCUGGCAGUCAGAGGCGAUGAAGGACGUGCUAAUCUGCGAAAAGCGUCGGUAAGGUGAUAUGAACCGUUAUAACCGGCGAUGUCCGAAUGGGGAAACCCAGUGCAAUUCGUUGCACUAUCGUUAACUGAAUACAUAGGUUAACGAGGCGAACCGGGGGAACUGAAACAUCUAAGUACCCCGAGGAAAAGAAAUCAACCGAGAUUCCCCCAGUAGCGGCGAGCGAACGGGGAGCAGCCCAGAGUCUGAAUCAGCUUGUGUGUUAGUGGAACGGUCUGGAAAGUCCGACGGUACAGGGUGAUAGUCCCGUACACCAAAAUGCACAGGUUGUGAACUCGAAGAGUAGGGCGGGACACGUGGUAUCCUGUCUGAAUAUGGGGGGACCAUCCUCCAAGGCUAAAUACUCCUGACUGACCGAUAGUGAACCAGUACCGUGAGGGAAAGGCGAAAAGAACCCCGGCGAGGGGAGUGAAAAAGAACCUGAAACCGUGUACGUACAAGCAGUGGGAGCACCUUCGGGUGUGACUGCGUACCUUUUGUAUAAUGGGUCAGCGACUUAUAUUCUGUAGCAAGGUUAACCGUAUAGGGGAGCCGCAGGGAAACCGAGUCUUAACUGGGCGUUAAGUUGCAGGGUAUAGACCCGAAACCCGGUGAUCUAGCCAUGGGCAGGUUGAAGGUUGGGUAACACUAACUGGAGGACCGAACCGACUAAUGUUGAAAAAUUAGCGGAUGACUUGUGGCUGGGGGUGAAAGGCCAAUCAAACCGGGAGAUAGCUGGUUCUCCCCGAAAGCUAUUUAGGUAGCGCCUCGUGAACUCAUCUUCGGGGGUAGAGCACUGUUUCGGCUAGGGGGUCAUCCCGACUUACCAACCCGAUGCAAACUACGAAUACCGAAGAAUGUUAUCACGGGAGACACACGGCGGGUGCUAACGUCCGUCGUGAAGAGGGAAACAACCCAGACCGCCAGCUAAGGUCCCAAAGUCAUGGUUAAGUGGGAAACGAUGUGGGAAGGCACAGACAGCCAGGAUGUUGGCUUAGAAGCAGCCAUCAUUUAAAGAAAGCGUAAUAGCUCACUGGUCGAGUCGGCCUGCGCGGAAGAUGUAACGGGGCUAAACCAUGCACCGAAGCUGCGGCAGCGACACUAUGUGUUGUUGGGUAGGGGAGCGUUCUGUAAGCCUGCGAAGGUGACCUGUGAGGGUUGCUGGAGGUAUCAGAAGUGCGAAUGCUGACAUAAGUAACGAUAAAGCGGGUGAAAAGCCCGCUCGCCGGAAGACCAAGGGUUCCUGUCCAACGUUAAUCGGGGCAGGGUGAGUCGACCCCUAAGGCGAGGCCGAAAGGCGUAGUCGAUGGGAAACAGGUUAAUAUUCCUGUACUUGGUGUUACUGCGAAGGGGGGACGGAGAAGGCUAUGUUAGCCGGGCGACGGUUGUCCCGGUUUAAGCAUGUAGGCUGGUUGUCCAGGCAAAUCCGGAUAAUCAAGGCUGAGGUGUGAUGACGAGGCACUACGGUGCUGAAGUAACAAAUGCCCUGCUUCCAGGAAAAGCCUCUAAGCAUCAGGUAACAUUAAAUCGUACCCCAAACCGACACAGGUGGUCAGGUAGAGAAUACCAAGGCGCUUGAGAGAACUCGGGUGAAGGAACUAGGCAAAAUGGUGCCGUAACUUCGGGAGAAGGCACGCUGGUGUGUAGGUGAAGUCCCUGCGGAUGGAGCUGAGACCAGUCGAAGAUACCAGCUGGCUGCAACUGUUUAUUAAAAACACAGCACUGUGCAAACACGAAAGUGGACGUAUACGGUGUGACGCCUGCCCGGUGCCGGAAGGUUAAUUGAUGGGGUUAUCCGUAAGGAGAAGCUCUUGAUCGAAGCCCCGGUAAACGGCGGCCGUAACUAUAACGGUCCUAAGGUAGCGAAAUUCCUUGUCGGGUAAGUUCCGACCUGCACGAAUGGCGUAAUGAUGGCCAGGCUGUCUCCACCCGAGACUCAGUGAAAUUGAACUCGCUGUGAAGAUGCAGUGUACCCGCGGCAAGACGGAAAGACCCCGUGAACCUUUACUAUAGCUUGACACUGAACAUUGAGCCUUGAUGUGUAGGAUAGGUGGGAGGCUUUGAAGCGUGGACGCCAGUCUGCGUGGAGCCAACCUUGAAAUACCACCCUUUAAUGUUUGAUGUUCUAACGUUGGCCCCUGACCGGGGUUGCGGACAGUGUCUGGUGGGUAGUUUGACUGGGGCGGUCUCCUCCCAAAGCGUAACGGAGGAGCACGAAGGUUAGCUAAUCCUGGUCGGACAUCAGGAGGUUAGUGCAAUGGCAUAAGCUAGCUUGACUGCGAGCGUGACGGCGCGAGCAGGUGCGAAAGCAGGUCAUAGUGAUCCGGUGGUUCUGAAUGGAAGGGCCAUCGCUCAACGGAUAAAAGGUACUCCGGGGAUAACAGGCUGAUACCGCCCAAGAGUUCAUAUCGACGGCGGUGUUUGGCACCUCGAUGUCGGCUCAUCACAUCCUGGGGCUGAAGUAGGUCCCAAGGGUAUGGCUGUUCGCCAUUUAAAGUGGUACGCGAGCUGGGUUUAGAACGUCGUGAGACAGUUCGGUCCCUAUCUGCCGUGGGCGCUGGAGAAUUGAGGGGGGCUGCUCCUAGUACGAGAGGACCGGAGUGGACGCAUCACUGGUGUUCGGGUUGUCAUGCCAAUGGCACUGCCCGGUAGCUAAAUGCGGAAGAGAUAAGUGCUGAAAGCAUCUAAGCACGAAACUUGCCCCGAGAUGAGUUCUCCCUGAGACUUUAAGUCUCCUGAAGGAACGUUGAAGACGACGACGUUGAUAGGCCGGGUGUGUAAGCGCAGCGAUGCGUUGAGCUAACCGGUACUAAUGAACCGUGAGGCUUAACCUUACAACGCCGAAG